Molecule: ribosomal RNA, 254 nt
Filed under: uncultured bacterium
Lineage: Bacteria
Description: partial 16S ribosomal RNA
Rfam family: Bacterial small subunit ribosomal RNA
Source: RNAcentral
CACGUAGGGGGCGAGCGUUGUCCGGAUUUAUUGGGCGUAAAGAGCUCGUAGGCGGUUUCGUAAGUCGGAUGUGAAAACUCCAGGCUCAACUUGGAGACGCCAUUCGAUACUGCGAUGACUUGAGUCCGGUAGGGGAGUGUGGAAUUCCUGGUGUAGCGGUGAAAUGCGCAGAUAUCAGGAGGAACACCGGUGGCGAAGGCGGCAUCCUGGACCAAUUCUGACGCUGAUGAGCGAAAGCCAGGGGAGCAAACGGG